AAAAAAUCCUUACAGGCUACAAAAGGUCAGAAUAUUCUAGAAAGCAAAUCUGAAGGAACAUGACCAUCUGUUCAGUUUAAAUCUUCACUGAGCUGAGCAAACAGAAGAAUAAUCCUGCAGAUGGAGAAAUGCUGCACAUCACAAGGUCCGUAUCAUAGCAGUGUGAGGUUAGCUUCCCCAGGUCCAGUUCCCAUACACCAUCCAUUACUCUGCUCUGUUUAUCAGAAAAAUGUGCCACCAAGCAAUCAAUACAUUUUCCAAGUGAACAAAACAGGACAGAAACCUCCCAGCUCUUCCUUAGCAAUAAGCCAUGCUGAGUGUUCCUCCCCACACAGGGCUGACCUCACCACACUGCUGUGACCCCAGCCUGAGCAGAGGGAGACAGAGCAGAAAGGAAUUGACCACAGCUGCUGCAAGGACAGGCUGAGUGUGGAGAUUCACAGCUGGAGAACAAUUUGCCUCAGGAAGAAUCACACCUUGAGUCUCACUCAUAUUUGAUUUACCUGAGACUUUUGAUUUUAGACUUUUGAGUUGAUUCCGGAAGGAGUUAAGACUUUUGGGGCUAUUGGAAUGAAAUGAAUGCAUUUUGUAUGUGAGAAGGACAUAAGUUUUGGGGAGGGUAUGGAGCAGAACGCUAUGGUUUGGAUGUAUCCUCUCCAAAAUUCAGAUGUUACCAGUGUGCUGACAUUAAGAGAUGGGACCUUUAAGAGGUGAUUACGCCAUGAGGGCUCCUUCCUAAUAAGGAAUGAAUACAUAAAUGGGAUAAAUAAAUUAAUGAGAUUAAGGCUCUUAAAAAAGAGCCUUCAUGCUGCACUUGGCUAGCUUGCUGUCUUGCCUUUCUGCCUUCUGCCAUGAGAUGACACAGCAGAGGGCCCUCACCCGAUGGUGGCAACUUGAUCUUGGACUUCCCAGUCUUCAGAACUGUGACA
This 929-nucleotide long non-coding RNA is filed under the name Homo sapiens (human). RNAcentral describes it as "HSALNT0122073". Lineage: Eukaryota; Metazoa; Chordata; Mammalia; Primates; Hominidae. The record is from RNAcentral.